AAGGGUAGAGCUCAGUGGUAGAGUGUGUGCUUAGCAUGCACGAGGUCCUGGGUUCAAUCCCCAGUACCUCCA
Molecule: transfer RNA, 72 nt
Filed under: Camelus bactrianus (Bactrian camel)
Lineage: Eukaryota; Metazoa; Chordata; Mammalia; Artiodactyla; Camelidae
Also listed under: 1 other name
Rfam family: tRNA
About the family: Transfer RNA (tRNA) molecules are approximately 80 nucleotides in length. Their secondary structure includes four short double-helical elements and three loops (D, anti-codon, and T loops). Further hydrogen bonds mediate the characteristic L-shaped molecular structure. tRNAs have two regions of fundamental functional importance: the anti-codon, which is responsible for specific mRNA codon recognition, and the 3' end, to which the tRNAs corresponding amino acid is attached (by aminoacyl-tRNA synthetases). tRNAs cope with the degeneracy of the genetic code in two manners: having more than one tRNA (with a specific anti-codon) for a particular amino acid; and 'wobble' base-pairing, i.e. permitting non-standard base-pairing at the 3rd anti-codon position.
Source: Rfam by way of RNAcentral